Molecule: long non-coding RNA, 379 nt
Organism: Equus quagga
Lineage: Eukaryota; Metazoa; Chordata; Mammalia; Perissodactyla; Equidae
Exons: 3
Source: RefSeq, a predicted model, not a curated record
AGAUUGCAUCAGAUUCACAUAUGCUUGUUUUCCACUGGGCAGUCCCUGGGUGUUAAAAGAGAUGAUCUAGCCGACAUGGCUUUCAGGGACCCCUUGCCUUCUGUAAUGGGUAGUGGAGCCCUGAAGCUGCAAGCAGCCAUCUUGCUACCAUAAAGCUUGCAUGAUGCAUCUUGAAGCCAAAGCGAAGCAAGCUGAGAUGCUGGGGAGCCUGCUGAAAGCAUCAUUUGAAUCUCUCUCUAAGGCGUGUCUGAAGCAAGGACUACCACUUCUUCUUUUGCUGCUUCAGCUAGUGCUUCAAAGGAUUUGGAAUCCCUUUGUUCUGAGUUCAUUUCAACUACUAAUGGUGGGAAAGGAGAACAUUUCCUAAAUUGGAUGAAUU